RNAcentral lists this ribosomal RNA (498 nucleotides) under uncultured bacterium. Its description in RNAcentral is "partial 16S ribosomal RNA". It matches the Rfam family "Bacterial small subunit ribosomal RNA", at positions 28 to 507 of the family's 1533-position model. The record is from RNAcentral.
GAUGAACGCUGGCGGCGUGCCUAAUACAUGCAAGUCGAGCGAACAGACGAGGAGCUUGCUCCUCUGACGUUAGCGGCGGACGGGUGAGUAACACGUGGAUAACCUACCUAUAAGACUGGGAUAACUUCGGGAAACCGGAGCUAAUACCGGAUAAUAUAUUGAACCGCAUGGUUCAAUAGUGAAAGACGGUUUUGCUGUCACUUAUAGAUGGAUCCGCGGCGUAUUAGCUAGUUGGUAAGGUAAAGGCGUACCAAGGCAACGAUACAUCGCCGACCUGAGAGGGGGGUAUGCCACACUGUGAAUGGGACACGGCCCAGACCCCUACAGGGGGCAGCCGUAGGGGAACUUCUCCAAAGGGGGGAAGGCCGACCGGGCAACGCCGCGGGAGGGAAGAAGGGUUUCGGGUCGGAAAAAUCUGUUUUAAGAGGAAAAAGAAAGUGGGAGUGGAAAGUUCACGCUGUGACGGUAUCUUACCAGAAAGGCACGGCUAACUACGUG